GGUGAACGCUGGCGGUAGGCCUAACACAUGCAAGUCGAACGGCAGCACAGUAAGAGCUUGCUCUUACGGGUGGCGAGUGGCGGACGGGUGAGGAAUACAUCGGAAUCUACUUUUUCGUGGGGGAUAACGUAGGGAAACUUACGCUAAUACCGCAUACGACCUACGGGUGAAAGCAGGGGAUCUUCGGACCUUGCGCGAUUGAAUGAGCCGAUGUCGGAUUAGCUAGUUGGCGGGGUAAAGGCCCACCAAGGCGACGAUCCGUAGCUGGUCUGAGAGGAUGAUCAGCCACACUGGAACUGAGACACGGUCCAGACUCCUACGGGAGGCAGCAGUGGGGAAUAUUGGACAAAGGGCGCAAGCCUGAUCCAGCCAUACCGCGUGGGUGAAGAAGGCCUUCGGGUUGUAAAGCCCUUUUGUUGGGAAAGAAAAGCAGCAGGUUAAUACCCCGCUGUUCUGACGGUACCCAAAGAAUAAGCACCGGCCAACUUCGUG
RNAcentral lists this ribosomal RNA (492 nucleotides) under uncultured bacterium. Its description in RNAcentral is "partial 16S ribosomal RNA". It matches the Rfam family "Bacterial small subunit ribosomal RNA", at positions 28 to 507 of the family's 1533-position model. The record is from RNAcentral.